AAGUGGUUGGACUAGAUGACACCAGCGAGAAUCGAUAUUGGCGAAAAAUUAAAGGGAGCAUUUCCGAAUGAUUGCAGUAAAGUUAUCAAGGACGCUAAACAAUGGGCACAAGAGGUCAAAAAAUUGCGAGGAAACGUGGUAAAAAUUGGGUGAAUAAGUAUUGACACUGGAAAGAUUAGGAACGAUAUAGAAUCAACAUCUCGCCAUUAUUGG
This is a long non-coding RNA of Vespa mandarinia (Asian giant hornet), 213 nucleotides long. Lineage: Eukaryota; Metazoa; Arthropoda; Insecta; Hymenoptera; Vespidae. The record is from RefSeq and is a predicted model, not a curated record.